UUAAUAAGGUACAGUUUGAGAAGCUUGGGGUUAUCGGGAGUAUUUUGGAAAAAUUACAACUGAUUUAACCAAACACACGUAGUAUUCUUGUUUUUCCCGGUUUUGACACGUACAAACGCUUAGUGCAUACGCUAGUUCUUCCUCCAGAUUUUCACAGUUGCUCAAUUCCUCUUCCAGUUUUGCUCUUGGAAAAUGGGGAAUUUCCCUUUUUUCCCCCGAUUUCCCCUAGAAUUUUUGUAAAUUAACAUAGGCAUCCGAUCUCAGACCUUAUUGUCCAACGAUUUCACUUUUCUCUCUGGAUCUAAACUCUAUGCUGUGACAAGAUAGUUCCAUCACAAAUCUCUUGUUCAACUUGAAAGAAUUUCUGCCGGAGUGAGAGUAGCGACUGCAUUACUUAGAAUUUUAGCUGCUAUUGGAUUUUGUUAUUUUUUUUCAAGAUACGGCAGAAGAAGAAAAGGGAAGAGCAGCAAGCUCGCGUCCUAAAGCUCUUUGAUGAAGAUGAUGAUCUAAUGUUGAGCUUGGUAUUCGGGAUUGAGAUUAUAUAUUCUCCUUCUAUAACACAGUGCAUUUUAGCAGAGCACCUAUUACAUGCUGCGAUCGUAUAUAACUCGAGCAGAGAAGGAGAGAACUGAGAAAGAUGUGAAAGCUAUACAGCAAAAGGAGAACGGACAUGGCUGACAGCCUCAAACAAUCACAUCGGAAGACAACAUUGAGUAAGAUGAAGAGGCUGGAACUCCUGAGAUGCAAGUUGAUAAGAUGCAUCAAGACAAAGAAGAAAUACAUGUCGUUAACUAAUCAUCAAGAUAUAAGACUUUGUUUUUACAAGUUUGGAGAGGCUUAUAAGGCUGCUGAUGUUUUUCACGGGCGUGAUGGCUAUGAUUUUGAUGGGCAUUGCUUGACGAUUUUAGUUUAGUGUUGCUACAAAUGGAUUCAAUGACGUGUAAGAAUAUAAUGCAUGUGUCUUACAUGAAAUACACCGGAAACCAUUCUUUGUGUUCAUAUUUGAUCAUUGUUCAUUCCUGUGUCGGAAUGUGUAUCUGGUUUAGGUUUUUUUCUGACUUUCUAGGGGUACGGGUAAUAUUUUGGGAACUUUUUUCGGUCGACUUUGCAUACAGAAACCUACACAAUGUUUGUAAUGAUUGGAAUCACCUAGACAAUCUAUAUAGCCAUGUCAUCAAAGAUGAAUAGGACUAUAGGAUUCAACUCUACUUCAUGCUUCUAAAUUCAGUUGAAAGUUGUGAUUACGUUCAAGGAUAAAGUCUUGUUUGAACUUUUUGAUAUGUCUAUGGGAGAACUUUCAUUAUUAAUAAAUAGUGUUUCUAGAAUAUUUCAUUGAGCUUGUUAAUAGACUAUUAAGCUAUUUAUGCUUGAAUCACGUUAGCAAAUAUCGAUUCAAUUAGCUAAUGACUGAUACUGUAGUUGUUCUUUUUGAUUCGUUUUGCACUAGACAUUAUCAUUGCUGAAUGUAUACUAACAAGGUCAGUAUGCUAAAUUAGUUGUCCUCACUAAUGCCAAAAGAGUGGGUUAUUCAUUGAAAUCGAAAUUCAUUGCCUUUCUGGUUUCUUAUUUCGUUAAGUGGGCUGCAUUGAUUUCUGAUGGCUUUUUCAUAAUUUUUUAUGCUCUGGUGGUACAAGUAAUCACAGUUCAGCAACACUUUCAUGUUCAAUAGUGCACCGUCUGCAUUUUAUUUUAAUAAUUAAUAAGCUAAAGCUAAAAUGUUUGAUGGUGAGAGUGGAGAUACAUUUUCAAUAUUUUCAUUUCUUAAUAUAAUGAUAUGAUUAUAAAGUAAGUAGCAAGAAGUAGUAUAAAUAUUGUAUAUAGCUAUUUUAAUAUUUAUGGCACUAACUUUUAUUCAUCUAACUAUUUACUUUGAUCUAGAUUUAGUGAGUAAUGGCUUAUUGUUGUAGAAUUUUAAAACCAAAGAGUUCAAACAUUUUGAUUCAAUGUAAUUGUAACAACAACUCCUAAAAAAUUGUUGGUUUCUUUACAACUAUGUUUACAAGACUCAAAUGUUUAAUUUCAGCAGCAUGUACACAGGUGUGUUUGUCUGCUAUGGUCGUCAUCCUGAUGUGAGAAACACUUGCACCUGAUGGGCAACGAAGGAUGAUCACUUUUAAAGAAUAACAAGCGCAACAAGAUUAUUGGCUAUUUGAGUGAGAUGUAUAGUUACUGUGCUGCCUUUGUCGUCUAUUAUAUAACAAGAAAAAUUAUUCACAUUUCCAACUUCAUACUCUUUCCUUUGAGCAUGUUACCAUUGUUAAAAAAAUUAUUCUUUUGCCCAAUUA
Molecule: non-coding RNA, 2285 nt
Organism: Nicotiana tabacum (common tobacco)
Lineage: Eukaryota; Viridiplantae; Streptophyta; Magnoliopsida; Solanales; Solanaceae
Source: RefSeq, a predicted model, not a curated record